This 1219-nucleotide long non-coding RNA is filed under the name Felis catus (domestic cat). RNAcentral describes it as "lncRNA (ENSFCAG00000051085.1)". The record is from RNAcentral. Lineage: Eukaryota; Metazoa; Chordata; Mammalia; Carnivora; Felidae.
ACCCCUUCUAGAAUCUGCCUGCACCAAAGGGCAGCAGAGGACAGCAGUCACAAAAGCCCCAACAGCCCUGUUGUCCAGCAGGCGGUCACAUCUGGGGCCAGUGUGACCUCAUCACCCUUCGACACACAUACCGACUGUCUCCGGGCUCCUACCCGUGAGCCCUCACGACACCGCUUUCUGAAAGCUUCGAUUCUCACAGCUCGGGCCACCUCUGUUGUUUUCCUUCCCCUCGGCGCCUCUGCCUUUCGGCGACAGACCCUUUCAGCCGCCUCUGGAACCAGGAGCCGUGACAGGAGCCCCAUCCCCUCAAUCCUGCGCAUGUGUCAGUCGUCAGUAGCAAGACACGACCCACGUGAAAUGCGUUGUUUGCAUAAACACACACAUUUUAUACACCCCACGGGACAGACACGCACUCAGGAGCCAGCGGCCGAGGGCCCGUCUCAGGGGUUUCCACCCCGGUCCGCAAAGAGCCACUGCAGCUGAUGUCUAAAAUAAGGUUUGUGUGCAAAGGGCAAGGAAUGGACGGGCAAACAGCAUCUCCCAGCCGCCCGGCCGCCCAGAGGCCCCAGGCUGAGCCUGUCUUGCAGCCGUGCUGGGGUGACCAGGGAUGGCUGGGCUGUCCCUCCCUCUGCUCGAUGUGCUGGCUGCUUGUGACAGGCAUCCUUUUAGUUGAAAAUCAUUCAUCGUUUUUUGUUUAUGUGACAGCUUGAUUGGAAUUGCUACUUAGGCCUUCGCGGGACCCAUAAACAGAAAAAGCGAAUCCCUGUGGCCUGGCGGGGGCGGGGGCGGGGGGGGGGGGGGCGGAGACGAGAUCUGAUGUUAAACCCAGGCCAGAAUUCCGUAAAGCCGGGCCCGGAACCAGACAGGAGGCUCCUCUGGUGGCCUAAACCAAUUCACAAAAGCAAGCAAGGAAGGUCCUAAGCCCUAAACCAGAGUAAAAAAUGGUUUUGCCCCAGAACACUUAAAAAAAAAAAAACUUUCCUGGGGCACCUGGGGGGCUCAGUCAGUUAAGCCACCAACUCUUGGUUUCCGCUCAGGUCAUGAUCUCGCGGCUCGUGGGUUCGAGUCCCGUGUCGUGCUCUGUGCUCACAGCUGGGAGCCCGGAGCCUGCUUCAGAUUCUGUGUCUCCCUCUCUCUCUGCCCCUCCCCUGCCCUCUCUCUCUCUCUCUCUCUCUCUCUCAAAAAUAAACAUUAAAAAAAUUUUUAAUUAAAAAAAAGC